Pelobates cultripes (western spadefoot toad) is the source of this 226-nucleotide non-coding RNA. Lineage: Eukaryota; Metazoa; Chordata; Amphibia; Anura; Pelobatidae. The record is from the annotation of a GenBank genome assembly.
CCCAAUGAAUGUCUUUGGCACUAUUUCGUGAAGCUACAGUGCCAUAUAGGAGACUAAGCCAUAUCAGUUUUUACCGAACUUUGAAUUUUGACGGUGGGCCUAUGUGCAAUUUCCAAGCAUCUUAGCAGGGUUUAAAUUCAAACUACCCCACAAAGGCCUACCAUUUCUUAAAGUAAACACCCCAGGGUAUUUCAAAAGGUAUAUUUUGAACCUUAGCGUGGGAUCA